UCUCUUGGGACUGGGUCUGUUCGGCUCCUAUCGCUCUACUCUUUCAGCAAAUGGAGCACAGCCCUGCUGCACCGAGGGGGGUAGUGUUCUGCUGGGCAGUGUGGGAGCCAGGGUAUUGAUAUUCAUGCCUCAGACUCAAAUCAGGAAUUGCCAAGAGCUUGUGGGGCCGUAAGAGGAGGCUGCACUUGCCAGGAUGGGCACUGUGUGGACCGCAUCACAUGCUGCGGACUGCGCAUUCUCAGCCCUACACACUAGCUUCUCUCUGGUUCAGCUCCACCUCCACGAGACGGACCUUGACCAUUUCCUAGACUCAAAGUGAAGUCACACUGUGAAGAGUGGACUGCGGCCGACUUUUCCGGCUCUCUGGGGCCCUCCACUCUCUCGUCUGUCCUGGCGCCCAAGUACAGGAAGUGACUCAG
Molecule: long non-coding RNA, 419 nt
Organism: Suricata suricatta (meerkat)
Lineage: Eukaryota; Metazoa; Chordata; Mammalia; Carnivora; Herpestidae
Exons: 3
Source: RefSeq, a predicted model, not a curated record